RNAcentral lists this transfer RNA (73 nucleotides) under Caedimonas varicaedens. RNAcentral's name for it is "Caedibacter varicaedens tRNA". It matches the Rfam family "tRNA". Rfam says of the family: Transfer RNA (tRNA) molecules are approximately 80 nucleotides in length. Their secondary structure includes four short double-helical elements and three loops (D, anti-codon, and T loops). The record is from Rfam by way of RNAcentral. Lineage: Bacteria; Pseudomonadati; Pseudomonadota; Alphaproteobacteria; Holosporales; Caedimonadaceae.
GGGCGCUUAGCUCAGUCGGUAGAGCAUCUGACUUUUAAUCAGGGGGUCACAGGUUCGAAUCCUGUAGCGCCCA